UCCUUGGUGGCCAGGGUCAGGAAACAGU
This 28-nucleotide non-coding RNA is filed under the name Mus musculus (house mouse). The record is from RNAcentral. Lineage: Eukaryota; Metazoa; Chordata; Mammalia; Rodentia; Muridae.